AUUGAACGCUGGCGGCAGGCCUAACACAUGCAAGUCGAGCGGAUGAAGGGAGCCUGCUCCUGGAUUCAGCGGCGGACGGGUGAGUAAUGCCUAGGAAUCUGCCUGGUAGUGGGGGAUAACGUCCGGAAACGGGCGCUAAUACUGCAUACGUCCUGAGGGAGAAAGUGGGGGAUCUUCGGACCUCACGCUAUCAGAUGAGCCUAGGUCGGAUUAGCUAGUUGGUGGGGUAAAGGCCUACCAAGGCGGCGAUCCGUAACUGGUCUGAGAGGAUGAUCAGUCACACUGGAACUGAGACACGGUCCAGACUCCUACGGGAGGCAGCAGUGGGGAAUAUUGGACAAUGGGCGAAAGCCUGAUCCAGCCAUGCCGCGUGUGUGAAGAAGGUCUUCGGAUUGUAAAGCACUUUAAGUUGGGAGGAAGAGCAGUAAGUUAAUACCUUGCUGUUUUGACGUUACCAACAGAAUAAGCACCGGCUAACUUCGUG
Molecule: ribosomal RNA, 484 nt
Filed under: uncultured bacterium
Lineage: Bacteria
Description: partial 16S ribosomal RNA
Rfam family: Bacterial small subunit ribosomal RNA
Source: RNAcentral